RNAcentral lists this ribosomal RNA (1535 nucleotides) under metagenome. RNAcentral describes it as "bacterial SSU rRNA". It matches the Rfam family "Bacterial small subunit ribosomal RNA". The record is from RNAcentral.
AGAGUUUGAUUCUGGCUCAGAACGAACGCUGGCAGCGUGGAUUAGGCAUGCAAGUCGAACGGGAAGCCAUAAUUUCAAGUUUUCGGACGAGAAAAUAUGGUGGAGAGUGGCGAAAGGGUGAGUAACGCGUGGGUAACCUACCUCAAAGUUCGGGACAACCAGCCGAAAGGCUGGCUAAUACCGGAUGUGGUCUUCUGGCGCAUGUCAGAAUGAUUAAAGGCGGGGAUUCUUCGGAACCUGCCUCUUGGAGAGGGGCCCGCGUACCAUCAGCUUGUUGGUGAGGUAAUGGCUCACCAAGGCUUACGGUUAGCCGGCCUGAGAGGGUGAUCGGCCACACUGGGACUGAGACACUGCCCAGACUCCUACGGGAGGCUGCAGUCGAGGAUCAUUGACAAUGCGCGAAAGCGUGAUCAUGCGACGCUGCGUGGAGGAUGACGGCCUUCGGGUUGUAAACUCCUGUCAUUCGGGAAAAAUAACGCGAGGAUUAAUACUCCUUGUGAUUGAUGUUACCGAAAGAGGAAGCCACGGCUAACUCUGUGCCAGCAGCCGCGGUAAUACAGAGGUGGCGAGCGUUGUUCGGAUUUACUGGGCGUAAAGCGUGCGUAGGUGGCUUCGUAUGUCGGAUGUGAAAGCCCACGGCUCAACCGUGGAAUUGCAUCCGAAACUGCGGAGCUAGAGUACAGGAGGGGAGAGCGGAAUUCUUGGUGCAGUGGUGAAAUGCGUUGAUAUCAAGAAGAACACCGGUGGCGAAGGCGGCUCUCUGGAAUGUUACUGACACUGAGGCACGAAAGUUGGGGUAGCAAACAGGAUUAGAUACCCUGGUAGUCCCAACCGUAAACGGUGUGCACUUGGUGUGGGGGAAUUAACCCCCUCCGUGCCGGAGCUAACGCGUUAAGUGCACCGCCUGGGGAGUACGGCCGCAAGGCUAAAACUCAAAGAAAUUGACGGGGGCCCGCACAAGCGGAGGAGCAUGUGGCUUAAUUCGAUGCAACGCGAAGAACCAUACCAGGGCUUGACAUGUAGCUGCACGCCCGGCGAAAGUCGGGAAGCCUUCGAGGGUGCUACACAGGUGCUGCAUGGCUGUCGUCAGUUCGUGCCGUGAGGUGUUGGGUUAAGUCCCGCAACGAACGCAACCCCUAUGUUUAGUUGCCACCCUAGAUUUAUCUUGGAGCACUCUAGACAGACUGCCCGUACAAGCGGGAGGAAGGUGGGGACGACGUCAAGUCAGUAUGGCCCUUACGCCCUGGGCUGCACACGUGCUACAAUGGUCGGUACAAAGGGAUGCAAUAUCGCGAGGUGGAGCAAAUCCCCAAAACCGGCCCCAGUUCGGAUUGGAGUCUGCAACUCGACUCCAUGAAGUCGGAUUCGCUAGUAACGGCGCAUCAGCUACGGCGCCGUGAAUACGUUCCCGGGCCUUGUACACACCGCCCGUCACAUCAUGAAAGCCGUCUGCACCCGAAGUCGCUGAGCCAACCCGCAAGGGAGGCAGGUGCCCAAGGUGUGGGUGGUGAUUGGGAUGAAGUCGUAACAAGGUA